This 582-nucleotide ribosomal RNA is filed under the name uncultured bacterium. Its description in RNAcentral is "bacterial SSU rRNA". It matches the Rfam family "Bacterial small subunit ribosomal RNA", at positions 1 to 570 of the family's 1533-position model. The record is from RNAcentral.
UAGAGUUUGAUCAUGGCUCNCCGACGAAUGCUGGCGGCGUGCCUAAUACAUGCAAGUCGAGCGAAUCAAUAGGAGCUUGCUCCUGUUGGUUAGCGGCGGACGGGUGAGUAACACGUGGGCAACCUGCCUGUAAGACUGGGAUAACUUCGGGAAACCGGAGCUAAUACCGGAUAAUCCUUUUCCUCACAUGGGGAAAAGCUGAAAGUCGGUUUCGGCUGACACUUACAGAUGGGCCCGCGGCGCAUUAGCUAGUUGGUGAGGUAACGGCUCACCAAGGCGACGAUGCGUAGCCGACCUGAGAGGGUGAUCGGCCACACUGGGACUGAGACACGGCCCAGACUCCUACGGGAGGCAGCAGUAGGGAAUCUUCCACAAUGGACGAAAGUCUGAUGGAGCAACGCCGCGUGAGCGAUGAAGGCCUUCGGGUCGUAAAGCUCUGUUGUUAGGGAAGAACAAGUACCGGAGUAAACUGCCGGUACCUUGACGGUACCUAACCAGAAAGCCACGGCUAACUACGUGCCAGCAGCCGCGGUAAUACGUAAGUGGCAAGCGUUGUCCGGAAUUAUUGGGCGUNAAGCGCGC